Molecule: ribosomal RNA, 478 nt
Filed under: uncultured bacterium
Lineage: Bacteria
Description: partial 16S ribosomal RNA
Rfam family: Bacterial small subunit ribosomal RNA
Source: RNAcentral
GACGAACGCUGGCGGCGUGCUUAACACAUGCAAGUCGAACGGUAAGGCCCUUCGGGGUACACGAGUGGCGAACGGGUGAGUAACACGUGGGUGAUCUGCCCUGCACUUCGGGAUAAGCCUGGGAAACUGGGUCUAAUACCGGAUAGGACUCCGGACUGCAUGGUCUGGUGUGGAAAGCUUUUGCGGUGUGGGAUGGGCCCGCGGCCUAUCAGCUUGUUGGUGGGGUGAUGGCCUACCAAGGCGACGACGGGUAGCCGGCCUGAGAGGGUGACCGGCCACACUGGGACUGAGAUACGGCCCAGACUCCUACGGGAGGCAGCAGAGGGGAAUAUUGCACAAUGGGCGCAAGCCUGAUGCAGCGACGCCGCGUGAGGGAUGACGGCCUUCGGGUUGUAAACCUCUUUCAGCACAGACGAAGCGCAAGUGACGGUAUGUGCAGAAGAAGGACCGGCCAACUACGUGCCAGCCGCCGCGGUAA